Hibiscus syriacus is the source of this 171-nucleotide long non-coding RNA. RefSeq lists it as uncharacterized. Lineage: Eukaryota; Viridiplantae; Streptophyta; Magnoliopsida; Malvales; Malvaceae. The record is from RefSeq and is a predicted model, not a curated record. The transcript has 3 exons.
AAUGGUUGUAUGAAUGUCAAUAGUGACCCAAAGGCUUUAAAGAAACAUCAACACCACCUAUAAUUACAAAGCAUUGAAGUGCAAGCAACUUCAUUCCUAAAUGUUUCAGCAAAUCCUGCUACGCAACACAGAAUAAAAAGAAAAGCAAUCCAUCAAGCUAAAUCCGUAAAC